Molecule: ribosomal RNA, 360 nt
Filed under: uncultured bacterium
Lineage: Bacteria
Description: bacterial SSU rRNA
Rfam family: Bacterial small subunit ribosomal RNA
Source: RNAcentral
CGGCCGCGUCGACAAUAUUUAUAGCCUGAAGAUGAGCUCGCGUCCGAUUAGCUAGUUGGCGGAGUAAAAGCCCACCAAGGCGACGAUCGGUAGCUGGUCUGAGAGGACGAUCAGCCACACUGGGACUGAGACACGGCCCAGACUCCUACGGGAGGCAGCAGUGGGGAAUUUUCCGCAAUGGGCGAAAGCCUGACGGAGCAAGACCGCGUGGGGGAAGAAGGCUCUUGGGGUUGUAAACUUCUGUCGUAAGGGACGAUAAUGACGGUACCUUACAAGAAAGCCACGGCUAACUACGUGCCAGCAGCCGCGGUAAAACGUAGGUGGCAAGCGUUGUCCGGAAUUACUGGGUGUAAAGGGAGC